Molecule: unclassified non-coding RNA, 391 nt
Filed under: soil metagenome
Description: partial contains 5.8S ribosomal RNA, internal transcribed spacer 2, and large subunit ribosomal RNA
Rfam family: 5.8S ribosomal RNA (bases 1-122)
Source: RNAcentral
GAUGAAGAACGUAGCGAAAUGCGAUACUUGGUGUGAAUUGCAGAAUCCCGUGAACCAUCGAGUUUUUGAACGCAAGUUGCGCCCGAAGCCAUUAGGCCCAGGGCACGCCUGCCUGGGCGUCACACGUCGUUGCCCCCCCAUCUACUCCUUCGGGAUUGCGGGGGGCGGAUGAUGGCCUCCCGUGCGCCUCGUCGCGCGGUUGGCAUAAAUGCCAAGUCCUCGGCGACGCACGCCACGACAAUCGGUGGUUGCGAAACCUCGGUUGCCCGUCGUGUGCGGUCGUCGCGCAUCGAGGGCUCGAAAAAAUUGCCGGGCUCCGGCUCGGCUUUCAACGCGACCCCAGGUCAGGCGGGGUUACCCGCUGAAUUUAAGCAUAUCAAUAAGCGGAGGA